RNAcentral lists this ribosomal RNA (468 nucleotides) under uncultured bacterium. Its description in RNAcentral is "partial 16S ribosomal RNA". It matches the Rfam family "Bacterial small subunit ribosomal RNA", at positions 28 to 507 of the family's 1533-position model. The record is from RNAcentral.
GACGAACGCUGGCGGCGUGCUUAACACAUGCAAGUCGAACGGAAAGGCCCUGCUUUUGUGGGGUGCUCGAGUGGCGAACGGGUGAGUAACACGUGAGUAACCUGCCCUUGACUUUGGGAUAACUUCAGGAAACUGGGGCUAAUACCGGAUAGGAGCUCCUGCUGCAUGGUGGGGGCUGGAAAGUUUCGGCGGUUGGGGAUGGACUCGCGGCUUAUCAGCUUGUUGGUGGGGUAGUGGCUUACCAAGGCCUUGACGGGUAGCCGGCCUGAGAGGGUGACAGGCCACAUUAGAACUGGGAUACGGCCCAGACUCCUACGGGAGGCAGCGGUGGGGAAGAUUGCACAAUGGGCGGAAGCCUAAUGCAGCAACGCCGCGUGCGGUAUGACGGCCUUCGGGUUGUAAACCGCUUUCGCCUGUGACGAAGCGUGAGUGACGGUAAUGGGUAAAGAAGCACCGGCUAACUACGUG